Molecule: long non-coding RNA, 202 nt
Organism: Actinia tenebrosa (Australian red waratah sea anemone)
Lineage: Eukaryota; Metazoa; Cnidaria; Anthozoa; Actiniaria; Actiniidae
Source: RefSeq, a predicted model, not a curated record
AAUGAACCGUUAGAGCCUGGAUCAAAGUACAGGGUUCAUGUAAGAAUCGUUACCACGACAGUGGAUGGGAAACGAAUUUUCGGAGACUCGAGUUUUGUGGCUUUCACGACAAAAACCUACUACAAAGAUGAAGCUGGAGCCCCACCAAUACAGAUUAGAGAUACCAAAGACAUUUCUUAUUCGAAUGUAGUGAUCUUUUUCA